This is a non-coding RNA of Coffea arabica (coffee), 1636 nucleotides long. The record is from RefSeq and is a predicted model, not a curated record. NCBI's taxonomy places the organism in Eukaryota, Viridiplantae, Streptophyta, Magnoliopsida, Gentianales, Rubiaceae.
CUUGGGGUGGCCUUUCAACAAUCUCAUCUUCACUUGGCAUCUCUUUCUUGAAACUUGGGCUGACAUCAACAAUUUCAGGUCCUUUGAACUGGGCUAUCGGUAAUUGUUUGUUCUGCAGUUGAAACUUUGGGUGGCCCUUCAACAACCUUGCCUUCCUUUGUCUGCUCUUCCUGGAAACUAUCAGUUGCAUCAACAGUCUUGGCUUCUGUUUUCAUCUGCCGGUGUUCUAUCCUUGACAUGCUUUACCUCUCCUCCAUCUGCAAGGUUCUUGAAGCUGGUAUAUAUAUAUAUAUGUUGAAAUGUUAGCUUGCUGCAUGAUGAAGUUCGAAAAAGAGACCUGAAAUUUGCCUAUAAUUUUCAACAUUCUCUACAACUGAAACUUGAUGAGUUCCCUCAAUAAUGUCGUCUUCACUUUCCAUGUUUGUGUUGGGUCCAUGAAUUGCUUCUAUAUUUUCAGAUACUUUCAACUGAAGUAAUUCACUGCUUCUUCUGUUGUUGAAACUUUGGGAGGCCCAUGAACAACCUUCUCUUCCCUUGUCGUUAGUUGGUUUAAACUCUGAGUUGCAUCCACAGUUUCAGGAUCUUCAAACUGCUUUCAAUUUUAUAAAACAUCAGGAUUACCAAGUUGGUUUGUGGCAAAAUAAAAGGAUAAAAUGGGUGGUAAUUUAAUAUUUCAUCUGGAGUUGAUACUUGGUCAUGCUGUUCAACAACCUUUUCUUUACUUGGUAUCUUUUUGUUGACAGUCUCAGUGGCAUCAAUGGGCUCAGGUUCUUGAAACUGGGCUAUAAUUUAUUUUCUCUUCUGCAGUUGAAACUGGGUAAGGUCCUUCAAGGCCUUUGUCUUCAGGCGGACUUUGUUUUUUGGGGCUCUGAGCAUCAAAUAUCUCAGUUCCUUCAAACUGAGUUGUAACAACCUUGUCUUGCUGUGGCAUCUUUUCCUGGAAACUAUCAGUUGCAUCAACAGUCUUGGCUUCUGUAAGCUGUUGUGUAAUGUUAUUAAUUAUAAGCAUUAUGAAGUCAUCUAUUACAAUAAGAAAAGGAUGAAAUUGGUAGUUCUGAUUCUUAUUUUACCUUUGUACUUUCACUUGCAUAAUGCGUUUCAGAUAUUUCAUCUGCCAUCAUUCCUGAUUCUGUCUUAGGCUUUGCUUCGUGGUUUUCAUCUGCCAGUGUUCUAUCGUUGACAUUCUUUACCUCUACUCCCUCUGCAAGUUGAUAAUUUACUAUUUUGUCUGCUGGUAAUUUGUCCGGAGACAUUUUGACAACCUUAUCUUCUCUUUUUAUUUGUUUGUUGACACUCUGAGUGGUAUCACUUGGCUCAGGUUGUUGAAACUGGCAUACAUAUGUUGAAAUGUUAGCUUGAUGCAUGAUGAAGUCCAAAAAAGCAACCUGAAAUUUCCACAUCAGUGCCAGUGGUUUCUUCAAGCUGGAAUGUGUAUGCAACAUCAGGAUUAUGAAAGUUGAGUUAUUAUACAAAAUGGAAGACAAAACUUUAAGAGUCUCUCUCUUUAUCGUUUAUAAUUUUGUGAUGUUGGAUAUUUAUCUACCUUUAUUAUUGUUGACAACUUGUCUCCAGUUGUAUUGUCGACAUUGUCGACAUUGUCCUCCUUUCUUUCUUCUGCAGGCCUAUAAUUUCCAAC